ACACAAUGCACGAUGCAAAUCCGUGAAGCAGAGAGACAACAUAUAUGCAGAUAGAAUAUAUAUAUAAGCAGAUAAAAAUUAUAGAGGAACAACACAGAAUCAUUAGUUUCCUCUGAAGGUAGCCUCUUAGUAACCAAACCCCGCAGAGGGUCGGUCACAACAACCUGAGGCUCUUAUCUCAGUUACUGUUACGGCAAACAGUAACUGCAUUUAAUGAUAUUUUUGAACGUACUGAUUUGUACUUGUGCUUUCAUGAAACCAACAACUGAGGAAGUAGUAAAAAGAACUGCAACAAUACAGUCAGUUUUCAGGCAUCAUAAAUUGAAGUUUAUCAUCGUCAUGCUAAAUUUAUUGUGAUCAGAAACUUUUCGCGAAAAUGAUAGAUAAUGCAAUAAAGUCCCAUUGUUUAGUCAGGGCGUGAGGGAUUAUACAGCCCAGCCAGAGAGACACUGAAUGGUUUCAAGAAUAUUCUUACAAAAAAGUAAAAAAAAAAAAACAUGGUUCAAAAAUGAUGAAUUGGGCCCAAAACAGAGAUAAAAAUAACAGACUGCAACUCAGGUAGUAACUCAAAGAAGUCAAGCACAAACUGACCUAACAAACAACACAUGAGGGAAACCUAGAUCAUGUGUCAGUAACCCUUGUGCUGAUACACAAGGGUAAUUAAACACGCAAAACCUAAUUAGCAAAUCAAGUAAUUAAACUAAACAAAUACUAUUAGAACCAAACUGCCAAAAAGAAGAAAACUAAAGAAAUAGUCAAACUAAACUAAAGAAAUAACCAAAUUUCCAAUGCCCCCCUCCCCGGCAAAUAAAUGGUAUUACUCGCUGAGGAGAUUUCCUAGCCAUAUAAGGAAACGCAAGAGCUCUUCAAAGGACCAAACAGGUGCAAAUUAACCAGAGAUGUGAAACACAGAAACUUCCUAAGAGAAGGAAGCUGGAUGGGAGGUGCCAUGUGUAGAGAUAUGUUAGAAGAAUUGUACGUUUUAAUCUUCACCUCUCUCUCUAGCUAGAUCUCUGAGAAUAAAUAAUUUUCCUAUCACUCUGAUUUUCCUAAUAAAAAUCUAAAGACAAAUGCACAUUUCUCUGAUUGAUUCAGUGUCUCUAGGAAAAGGAAUUUUGAAUACAAUAGUUAAGUAAAUAUGUGAAUUACAAAUAGUUAACUAAAGAAACAGGCAAGUGAAAAAUAAUCUAAAAUCUAAACUAUUCACUAAUUAAUAUGUAAACUAAUUAUAAGAAUGAACAGAAAAACGGUUACCAUUCAACAUCUCUGUUGAAUGUGUCAGCUGUCACACAGGGUCUCGUCUCUCGAGAUUGUACAUUUAUUCACAUUACAUGCAUUUUUCAAAUCUUACAUAACUUCUCAAUUUUUUAAAAUAAACAUAAAUCAGCAUACAUAUAAAACAAAAAAAGAGA
This is a long non-coding RNA of Xiphophorus hellerii (green swordtail), 1412 nucleotides long. RefSeq lists it as uncharacterized. Lineage: Eukaryota; Metazoa; Chordata; Actinopteri; Cyprinodontiformes; Poeciliidae. The transcript has 2 exons. The record is from RefSeq and is a predicted model, not a curated record.